Non-coding RNA from Myotis davidii, 76 nucleotides. The record is from Rfam. NCBI's taxonomy places the organism in Eukaryota, Metazoa, Chordata, Mammalia, Chiroptera, Vespertilionidae.
GGCAGUUCUCGGGUGAUGCACCCCAGAAUCGGGCUCCCUCCUCUCUGGUCCUGGGGGGCAUCACCCGAGAACUGCU